UCUUUGAUGGUCCAGCGGCUGAGACAGUGCACUUCCAAUUCAGGAGACCCAGGUUCAAUCCCUAGUCAGGGAA
Molecule: transfer RNA, 73 nt
Filed under: Bos taurus (domestic cattle)
Lineage: Eukaryota; Metazoa; Chordata; Mammalia; Artiodactyla; Bovidae
Also listed under: 2 other names
Rfam family: tRNA
About the family: Transfer RNA (tRNA) molecules are approximately 80 nucleotides in length. Their secondary structure includes four short double-helical elements and three loops (D, anti-codon, and T loops).
Source: Rfam by way of RNAcentral